AUUGAACGCUGGCGGCGUGCUUAACACAUGCAAGUCGUGCGAGAAAGGGGACUUCGGUCCCUGAGUAGAGCGGCGCACGGGUGAGUAACGCGUGGAUCAUCUGCCCAAUUGUUCGGGAUAACGGCGGGAAACUGCCGCUAAUACCGGAUACGCUCCAAUUUCGGUUGGGGGAAAGGCGGCCUCUGCUUGCAAGCUGUCGCUUUUGGAUGAGUCCGCGUCCCAUUAGCUUGUUGGUGGGGUAAUGGCCUACCAAGGCUACGAUGGGUAGCUGGUCUGAGAGGAUGAUCAGCCACACUGGAACUGAAACACGGUCCAGACUCCUACGGGAGGCAGCAGUGGGGAAUAUUGCGCAAUGGGGGAAACCCUGACGCAGCGACGCCGUGUGAGGGAAGAAGGCUUUCGGGUCGUAAACCUCUGUCGGGAAGGAAGAACCCCCCCAUAUCCGAAUAGGGUGUGGGGCUGACGGUACUUCCAAAGGAAGCACCGGCUAACUCCGUG
RNAcentral lists this ribosomal RNA (498 nucleotides) under uncultured bacterium. Its description in RNAcentral is "bacterial SSU rRNA". It matches the Rfam family "Bacterial small subunit ribosomal RNA", at positions 30 to 507 of the family's 1533-position model. The record is from RNAcentral.